UAGCUAGUUGGUGAGGUAAAGGCUUACCAAGGCGGCGAUCUGUAGCGGGUCUGAGAGGAUGAUCCGCCACACUGGAACUGAGACACGGUCCAGACUCCUACGGGAGGCAGCAGUGGGGAAUUUUGGACAAUGGGGGCAACCCUGAUCCAGCCAUGCCGCGUGAGUGAAGAAGGCCUUCGGGUUGUAAAGCUCUUUCGGCCGGGAAGAAAUCGCAUGGGCCAAUACCCUGUGUGGAUGACGGUACCGGAAUAAGAAGCACCGCCUAACUACGUGCCAGCAGCCGCGGUAAUACGUAGGGUGCGAGCGUUAAUCGGAAUUACUGGGCGUAAAGCGUGCGCAGGCGGUUUUGUAAGACAGGCGUGAAAUCCCCGGGCUUAACCUGGGAACUGCGUUUGUGACUGCAAGGCUAGAGUACGGCAGAGGGGGGUGGAAUUCCACGUGUAGCAGUGAAAUGCGUAGAGAUGUGGAGGAACACCAAUGGCGAAGGCAGCCCCCUGGGUCGAUACUGACGCUCAUGCACGAAAGCGUGGGUAGCAAACAGGAUUAGAUACCCUGGUAGUCCACGCCCUAAACUAUGUCAACUAGGUGUUGGGUGGGUAAAACCAUUUAGUACCGUAGCUAACGCGUGAAGUUGACCGCCUGGGGAGUACGGCCGCAAGGUUAAAACUCAAAGGAAUUGACGGGGACCCGCACAAGCGGUGGAUGAUGUGGAUUAAUUCGAUGCAACGCGAAAAACCUUACCUACCCUUGACAUGCCAGGAACUUGCCAGAGAUGGCUUGGUGCCCGAAAGGGAGCCUGGACACAGGUGCUGCAUGGCUGUCGUCAGCUCGUGUCGUGAGAUGUUGGGUUAAGUCCCGCAACGAGCGCAACCCUUGUCGUUAAUUGCCAUCAUUUGGUUGGGCACUUUAACGAGACUGCCGGUGACAAACCGGAGGAAGGUGGGGAUGACGUCAAGUCCUCAUGGCCCUUAUGGGUAGGGCUUCACACGUCAUACAAUGGUCGGUACAAAGGGUUGCCAAGCCGCGAGGCGGAGCCAAUCCCAGAAAGCCGAUCGUAGUCCGGAUUGCAGGCCGCAACUCGCCUGCAUGAAGUCGGAAUCGCUAGUAAUCGUGGAUCAGCAUGUCACGGUGAAUACGUUCCCGGGUCUUGUACACACCGCCCGUCACACCAUGGGAGCGGGUUCCGCCAGAAGUAGGUAGCCUAACCGCAAGGGGGGCGCUUACCACGGCGGGGUUCGUGACUGGGGUGAAGUCGUAACAAGGUAGCCGUAGGGGAACCUGCGGCUG
RNAcentral lists this ribosomal RNA (1287 nucleotides) under metagenome. Its description in RNAcentral is "bacterial SSU rRNA". It matches the Rfam family "Bacterial small subunit ribosomal RNA", at positions 242 to 1520 of the family's 1533-position model. The record is from RNAcentral.